This 305-nucleotide ribosomal RNA is filed under the name uncultured bacterium. RNAcentral's name for it is "bacterial SSU rRNA". It matches the Rfam family "Bacterial small subunit ribosomal RNA", at positions 333 to 656 of the family's 1533-position model. The record is from RNAcentral.
GGCAGCCUACGGGAGGCAGCAGUGGGGGAUAUUGCACAAUGGGGGGAACCCUGAUGCAGCGACGCCGCGUGAGCGAAGAAGUACCUCGGUAUGUAAAGCUCUAUCAGCAGGGAAGAAAAUGACGGUACCUGACUAAGAAGCCCCGGCUAAAUACGUGCCAGCAGCCGCGGUAAUACGUAUGGGGCAAGCGUUAUCCGGAUUUAUUGGGUUUAAAGGGUGCGUAGGCGGACUGUUAAGUCAGCGGUAAAAGCCCGGGGCUCAACCCCGGCGAGCCGUUGAAACUGGCUGUCUUGAGAUGUCGAGAG